Long non-coding RNA from Rattus rattus (black rat), 871 nucleotides. RefSeq lists it as uncharacterized. The record is from RefSeq and is a predicted model, not a curated record. The transcript is spliced from 3 exons. Lineage: Eukaryota; Metazoa; Chordata; Mammalia; Rodentia; Muridae.
UCAUUGACACUUUCCAGUAGACACAGGCUCCUCUGAGGGUGCGUGUAGCAUGAAGUAUCUAUGGUUCUGUGUUCCUCUUCCCUUUCUGCCUGCAGGCAAGAGAAGGAAAGAGGGAGCACGUAGGGAUCACUAAGGACAAUCCAGGCAGCCGACUCUGAGAGUCCAACUAACAGAUGUGCUAACCGUGCGUCCUGGUAAGUUUUAGAAAAUGAAGAUGCCACCAAAUUCUCCAGCUAUGACCUUUGUAGAACAGACCAGCAAGAAAUCUGCUUUCAGAUUCUUCUGGGGACAGCAGGAAUGAGGAAGAGGGGAGGGUAUCUCCUCUCCAGGUACCUGCUGAUGCUGGACCUCUCCGGCUGUGCCAGGAGCAUGCAGGAAAAGCAGAGUCCUGCACAGGCACUUAAAGGAUUGGUCAGCAGCCAGGAAGCCUGGGUUCUAGAAUCUGACUUCAGCAACUGAGAUGUCUAAUGUGGAUCUACAUACCAGCUUUGGAUGCGUGGAUUCAGAUUGAACUUAGGGUAUCUUCCAUGCUAAGCAAGUGUUUGGCCACUGAAUACACCUCCAGCCAACAAGCACAUCCUGGAUAGAUGGAUGAGUAGAUGAGUAUGGAGUGGAUCCAAUACUGGACAGCAAACCCGAGUCCUCGUGUGUGAGCCUCCUCCAUUUCCUAAAGCCCUUGCCCUCAAGAGUACAUGGGCCUUGUAAUAGUCUUUCUUUUGGGGAGGGGAGGUGUUUGAGACAGGAUUUCUCUACAUAGCCUUGGACACCCUAGAGCUUGUUCUGUAGACUAGGCUGGCCUUGAACUCACAGAGAUCUGCUUGCCUCUGCCUCCCAAGUGCUGGAAUUAAAGGCAUGUGGCACCACCACCAUC